AUACGUAGGGUGCAAGCGUUAAUCGGAAUUACUGGGCGUAAAGCGUGCGCAGGCGGUUUUGUAAGACAGUGGUGAAAUCCCCGGGCUCAACCUGGGAACUGCCAUUGUGACUGCAAGGCUGGAGUGCGGCAGAGGGGGAUGGCAUUCCGCGUGUAGCAGUGAAAUGCGAAGAUAUGCGGAGGAACACCGAUGGCGAAGGCAAUCCCCUGGGACUGCACUGACGCUCAUGCACGAAAGCGUGUGGAGCAAACAGGAUUAGAUACCCUGGUAGUCCACGCCCUAAACGAUGUCAACUGGUUGUUGGGGAUUUAUUUUCUCAGUAACGAAGCUAACGCGUGAAGUUGACCGCCUGGGGAGUACGGCCGCAAGGUUAAAACUCAAAGGAAUUGACGGGG
Molecule: ribosomal RNA, 395 nt
Filed under: uncultured bacterium
Lineage: Bacteria
Description: partial 16S ribosomal RNA
Rfam family: Bacterial small subunit ribosomal RNA
Source: RNAcentral